UUGCGCAAGCACUGUUUAUUGACGCAAUCUUCGCAAUCAUCUGCCGGGCGCUGACGGGUAUCUUUAUCAACAGAAUCACCGCCUGGACAACAGUCCACUUGCAGCGAGCCCAAUCAGGCCCGCUGCGGCCGCCACCCCAGCAGGGUUGAGCCGGCCUCCAGGCUGCACACUGUCCACAAGACGGCGUGAGGUGAGCCAACGCCAAAAGCGUUGAGCCAGGACGAAAUUCUCAAGGGGUGGCCGACGGGUCACCCC
This 255-nucleotide small RNA is filed under the name Pseudomonas simiae. RNAcentral's name for it is "Pseudomonas sRNA P24". It matches the Rfam family "Pseudomonas sRNA P24". From Rfam's summary of the family: P24 is conserved across several Pseudomonas species and in Azotobacter vinelandii. It appears to be consistently located between a hypothetical protein gene and a transcriptional regulator gene (AsnC family) in the genomes of all these species. Lineage: Bacteria; Pseudomonadati; Pseudomonadota; Gammaproteobacteria; Pseudomonadales; Pseudomonadaceae. The record is from RNAcentral.